This 202-nucleotide long non-coding RNA is filed under the name Elaeis guineensis (African oil palm). RNAcentral's name for it is "long non-coding RNA (EGUI_LNC033633)". The record is from RNAcentral. Lineage: Eukaryota; Viridiplantae; Streptophyta; Magnoliopsida; Arecales; Arecaceae.
UAAGGAGAACUGUGAUAACAGACAAACUUUUAUUUUCUGUAAUGUAGGGAUGUCAUUUUUGUUAGGAGAAUAUCAUCCAUAUACAAAAUAAGAAAUAUUAUCACAGAAUUAUUAAUCCACUUGUAUAUAUAGGGUUCUUCUCUAUUCUUAAUGAAACCAUACAUUCUGAUCACUUUAUUAAAAUGCAUGUUCUAACUCUGAG